ACUGUACAAAAUUUCAGACAAUUUGGUUUAGUUUAAGCCCUUUAACUAUUCAUUUUGUUCUAAAAAUCAGCCUUUCGCAUGCUUAAUUGAUGCCUUUACCUAAUUUGCAUAUUGCUGACAUAUGCAAAUUAGGCAAAUGCAUUAAUUAAGCAUGCAAAUAGCUGAUUUUUCGGGAAAAUUGUAACUUUGUGUGAAUAGUUAAGGGGCUUAAACUGAACCAAAUUGUCUGAAAUUUUGUACAGUAAUUAAAAUCCCGACAAAUUUUCCAUCUGUUAACUCAAAAUAUGAUUGCAACUUUUAAAUUUUGUGCGCGAGCCAUUUUUAGUUUGUUGGAAAAGACACCCCCCCUGGUUCACAAAAUUUGAGUUCGAGAAAUUUUUUUCAUUAUUUUACAUUAUAAGUACCCAAAGAAGCUAUAUAUAUAAAAAACCAGAUACAAAUAGCUGUUUUGCGAAAUUGAGAGCAAUUUUAAACCUGUUCAGUUUUUUUUGAUACACCC
Molecule: long non-coding RNA, 499 nt
Filed under: Paramuricea clavata
Lineage: Eukaryota; Metazoa; Cnidaria; Anthozoa; Malacalcyonacea; Plexauridae
Source: RNAcentral